AUCACUGGAAAAAUGGUAUAAAUAGACAGAAAACCUACAGACCAACUCUAGAUAAGAUGGUAUAAAUAGACAGAAAACCUACAGACCAACUCUAGAUAAGAUGGUAUAAAUAGACAGAAAACCUACAGACCAACUCUAGAUAAGAUGGUAUAAAUAGACAGAAAACCUACAGACCAACUCUAGAUGAGAUGGUAUAAAUAGACAGAAAACCUACAGACCAACUCUAGAUGAGAUGGUAUAAAUAGACAGAAAACCUACAGACCAACUCUAGAUAAGAUGGUAUAAAUAGACAGAAAACCUACAGACCAACUCUAGAUAAGAUGAUAUAAAUAGACAGAAAACCUACAGACCAACUCUAGAUAAGAUGGUAUAAAUAGACAGAAAACCUACAGACCAACACUAGAUAAGAUGGUAUAAAUAGACAGAAAACCUACAUACCAACUCUAGAUAAGAUGGUAUAAAUAGAUAGAAAACCUACAGACCAACUCUAGAUGAGAUGGUAUAAAUAGAUAGAAAACCAACCGACCAACUCUAGAUAAGAUGGUAUAAAUAGACAUAAAACCUACUGACCAACUCUAGAUAAGAUGGUAUAAAUAGACAGAAAACCUACAGACCAACUCUAGAUAAGAUGGUAAAAAUAGACAUAAAACCCACCGACCAACUCUAGAUGAGAUGGUAUAAAUAGACAUAAAACCUACCGACCAACUCUAGAUGAGAUGGUAUAAAUAGAUAGAAAACCUACAGACCAACUCUAGAUGAGAUGGUAUAAAUAGACAGAAAACCUACAGACCAACUCUAGAUGAGAUGGUAUAAAUAGAUAGAAAACCUACAGACCAACUCUAGAUGAGAUGGUAUAAAUAGACAGAAAACCUACAGACCAACUCUAGAUAAGAUGGUAUAAAUAGACAGAAAACCUACAGACCAACUCUAGAUAAGAUGGUAUAAAUAGACAGAAAACCUACAGACCAACUCUAGAUGAGAUGGUAUAAAUAGAUAUAAAAACCUACAGACCAACUCUAGAGGAGAUGAUAUAAAUAGAUAUAAAAACCUACAGACCAACUCUAGAUGAGAUGGUAUAAAUAGAUAGAAAACCUACAGACCAACUCUAGAUGAGAUGAUAUAAAUAGACAGAAAACCUACAGACCAACUCUAGAUGAGAUGGUAUUAAUAGACAGAAAACCUACAGACCAACUCUAGAUGAGAUGGUAUAAAUAGACAGAAAACCUACAGACCAACUCUAGAUAAGAUGGUAUAAAUAGACAGAAAACCUACAGACCAACUCUAGAUAAGAUGGUAUAAAUAGACAGAAAACCUACAGACCAACUCUAGGUAAGAUGAUAUAAAUAGACAGAAAACCUACAGACCAACUCUAGAUGAGAUGGUAUAAAUAGACAGAAAACCUACAGACCAACUCUAGAUGAGAUGGUAUAAAUAGACAGAAAACCUACAGACCAACUCUAGAUAAGAUGGUAUAAAUAGACAGAAAACCUACAGACCAACUCUAGAUGAGAUGGUAUAAAUAGACAGAAAACCUACAGACCAACUCUAGAUGAGAUGGUAUAAAUAGACAGAAAACCUACAGACCAACUCUAGAUAAGAUGGUAUAAAUAGACAGAAAACCUACAGACCAACUCUAGAUGAGAUGGUAUAAAUAGACAGAAAACCUACAGACCAACUCUAGAUAAGAUGGUAUAAAUAGACAGAAAACCUACAGACCAACUCUAGAUAAGAUGGUAUAAAUAGACAGAAAACCUACAGACCAACUCUAGAUAAGAUGAUAAAAAUAGACAGAAAACCUACAGACCAACUCUAGAUAAGAUGGUAUAAAUAGACAGAAAACCUACAGACCAACUCUAGAUGAGAUGGUAUAAAUAGACAGAAAACCUACAGACCAACUCUAGAUGAGAUGGUAUAAAUAGACAGAAAACCUACAGACCAACUCUAGAUAAGAUGGUAUAAAUAGACAGAAAACCUACAGACCAACUCUAGAUAAGAUGAUAAAAAUAGACAGAAAACCUACAGACCAACUCUAGAUAAGAUGGUAUAAAUAGACAGAAAACCUACAGACCAACUCUAGAUGAGAUGGUAUAAAUAGACAGAAAACCUAUAGACCAACUCUAGAUGAGAUGGUAUAAAUAGACAGAGAACCUACAGACCAACUCUAGAUAAGAUGGUAUAAAUAGAUAGAAAACCUACAGACCAACUCUAGAUAAGAUGGUAUAAAUAGAUAGAAAACCUACAGACUGACUCUAGAUAAGAUGGUAUAAAUAGACAGAAAACCUACAGACCAACUCUAGAUGAGAUGGUAUAAAUAGACAGAAAACCUACAGACCAACUCUAGAUAAGAUGGUAUAAAUAGACAGAAAACCUACAGACCAACUCUAGAUAAGAUAGUACAAAUAGACAGAAAACCUACAGACCAACGCUAGAUAAGAUGGUAUAAAUAGACAGAAAACCUACAGACCAACUCUAGAUAAGAUGGUAUAAAUAGACAGAAAACCUACAGACCAACUCUAGAUAAGAUGGUAUAAAUAGACAGAAAACCUACAGACCAACUCUAGAUAAGAUGGUAUAAAUAGACAGAAAACAUACAGACCAACUCUAGAUAAGAUAGUAUAAAUAGACAGAAAACCUACAGACCAACUCUAGAUGAGAUGGUAUAAAUAGACAGAAAACCUACAGACCAACUCUAGAUAAGAUAGUAUAAAAAGACAGAAAACCUACAGACCAACUCUAGAUAAGAUGGUAUAAAUAGACAGAAAACCUACAGACCAACUCUAGAUGAGAUGGUAUAAAUAGACAGAAAACCUACAGACCAACUCUAGAUGAGAUGGUAUAAAUAGACAGAAAACCUACAGACCAACUCUAGAUAAGAUGGUAUAAAUAGACAGAAAACCUACAGACCAAUUCUAGAUGAGAUGGUAUAAAUAGACAGAAAACCUACCGACCAACUCUAGAUGAGAUGGUAUAAAUAGACAGAAAACCUACAGACCAACUCUAGAUAAGAUGGUAUAAAUAGACAGAAAACCUACAGACCAACUCUAGAUAAGAUGGUAUAAAUAGACAGAAAACCUACAGACCAACUCUAGAUAAGAUGGUAUAAAUAGACAGAAAACCUACAGACCAACUCUAGAUGAGAUGGUAUAAAUAGACAGAAAACCUACAGACCAACUCUAGAUGAGAUGGUAUAAAUAGACAGAAAACCUACAGACCAACUCUAGAUGAGAUGGUAUAAAUAGACAGAAAACCUACAGACCAACUCUAGAUAAGAUGGUAUAAAUAGACAGAAAACCUACAGACCAAUUCUAGAUAAGAUGGUAUAAAUAGACAGAAAACCUACCGACCAACUCUAGAUGAGAUGGUAUAAAUAGACAGAAAACCUACAGACCAACUCUAGAUAAGAUGGUAUAAAUAGACAGAAAACCUACAGACCAACUCUAGAUAAGAUGGUAUAAAUAGACAGAAAACAUACAGACCAACUCUAGAUAAGAUAGUAUAAAUAGACAGAAAACCUACAGACCAACUCUAGAUGAGAUGGUAUAAAUAGACAGAAAACCUACAGACCAACUCUAGAUGAGAUGGUAUAAAUAGACAGAAAACCUACAGACCAACUCUAGAUAAGAUGGUAUAAAUAGAUAGAAAACCUACAGACCAACUCUAGAUAAGAUGGUAUAAAUAGACAGAAAACCUACAGACCAACUCUAGAUAAGAUGGUAUAAAUAGACAGAAAACAUACAGACCAACUCUAGAUAAGAUAGUAUAAAUAGACAGAAAACCUACAGACCAACUCUAGAUGAGAUGGUAUAAAUAGACAGAAAACCUACAGACCAACUCUAGAUGAGAUGGUAUAAAUAGACAGAAAACCUACAGACCAACUCUAGAUAAGAUGGUAUAAAUAGAUAGAAAACCUACAGACCAACUCUAGAUAAGAUGGUAUAAAUAGACA
Long non-coding RNA from Nematostella vectensis (starlet sea anemone), 3946 nucleotides. RefSeq lists it as uncharacterized. Lineage: Eukaryota; Metazoa; Cnidaria; Anthozoa; Actiniaria; Edwardsiidae. The record is from RefSeq and is a predicted model, not a curated record. The transcript is spliced from 2 exons.